GGUGUCUAGGAUGUCAAUGGUAUAAUUCUUUUCCUAUACAAGUUUAUAGUUUGGAAGAUUUAGCUACUUUGACUUGGAGUUUAGGGUUUUGACUUUUGUCAUACAAGGCUUUUUGAAAUUUUUGAAAAGUCCAUUGGAUUUGUUUGAGGGUUGCCAAUUAUAAAUAUGUGCUUGAAGUUUUGAAAAGGUGCAUAUGUUUGUAGUUAUUAAAUGUUUGACUAUUUUGACUUUUGAGUUGACUUUGCAUAUGAAUAGGAAUUUUGAAGUUUUGAUUUGAGCUACCCCCCUAUUUUAAGGGUCUAGGAAUCUAGUGAUGGUCUUGAAAUCCUAUACAUGUUUUUCAAUUUUGAGAUAUAAGGCGUUUGACUUGAUACAAUUUUCUGUUGACUUUUUGUGUACUUUGUUGUCUUGAAUUUUUGAUUUGACCUACCCCCCUAUUUGUCAUGCUUCUGAUUCCAAUGGUAUGUUUAAAAUUUUCAGCAAAUUAAUAGUUUAGGAGAUAUGAGAUUUUCAAAAUAGCAAAAUUUGCCUUUCAUUAAUAUAUGAAAAAAAUAUUAUAAAAAUAUGAAAUAAAUACAUAGAGACUUUUGGACAUUAUAAUAAUAUAUUGAAUAAUUUAUAUAAGUAAAUGUUUUUUUUUUUUUUUUUUGAAAAAUAUCAUAUUUAUACUAUAUGUACAUAUGAUUUAACUUUAUAUUAUAUGUGUUCUAAGCCUAUGCAAUGGAUUGAACAUGAUUCCGCCAAUUUGCACCAUAUUCUUGAAUGAAGUGGCGAGCUCCUCCAACAUGAUCUUCAUACACUCCAUCCUUUUUCCAAUAUGCACCACUAUUGCGACCAAGGUUUAGGGUUUAGGGUUUAGGAUUUACAUGGGUGUCCUAGAGGUUUUUCAUCCUCAAUAUCUCUCAAUAUGUAAUAGCUUUUUCUGUUGUAAAAUUUUGCCAAGGCUUAAAAUCACCCAAAGACCUCUAUAAAUGAUUUUGUUUUUCAAAAAAAUGUGUUUCGUUUUCUGUAAUUUAGGGUUUGAAAAUCCUAAUUAGGGUCUUCAGACCCUGAUUAGAGUUCUAACUUGCAUAUUUUUUCUCAUGAGAGAACUAUAUAUGGAGUCUAAAUGCAUACAAAACUCUGCUUACUCAAAGCAAUCCCCCAUAGAUAGGUGGUUCACCUAGUCCAGGUCGAGAGAGUCCUUCAGGCUGCUCGCCCCUAUGUCUUUGCCCGCUCUCCACCUGCUGCACCAUCGGCUCUCCUUCCAUCAGGAUCAUCGUCGACGGAGUCAAUAUCAGCUCCAUCUUUGACUUCUGCAAGACUCCCGCAAGCGACGUUGGUGCCUACCUCCAAUGCAUCCGUGAGUGCAGCCUUCGAGACUACGCCGCUUACUGCAGCAUCACUUGUAGUCA
Molecule: long non-coding RNA, 1394 nt
Filed under: Physcomitrium patens
Lineage: Eukaryota; Viridiplantae; Streptophyta; Bryopsida; Funariales; Funariaceae
Description: long non-coding RNA (PPAT_LNC006199)
Source: RNAcentral